Molecule: long non-coding RNA, 263 nt
Filed under: Hordeum vulgare
Lineage: Eukaryota; Viridiplantae; Streptophyta; Magnoliopsida; Poales; Poaceae
Description: long non-coding RNA (HVUL_LNC020842)
Source: RNAcentral
UCGUUGUUAUCGUUGUUGUCAUUGUUGUUGUUGUUGUCGUUUUUGUCGUCGUCGUCGUCUUUGUCGUCGUUUUUGUUGUUGUUGUUGUUGUUUUCAUCGUUGUUGUCGUUAUUUUUGUUGUUGUUGUUGUUGUUGAUGAUGUUGUUGUUGUUGUUGUUGUUGUUGUUGUUGUUGUUGUUCUUGUUGUNNNNNNNNNNAUCUUGUCGUUGUCGUUGUUGUCGUCACUGUCGUCAUCAUUUUUGUUAUUGUUGUUACCGUUGUUG